UAGGGAAUAUUGCGCAAUGGGCGAAAGCCUGACGCAGCGACGCCGCGUGAGUGACGAAGGCCUUCGGGUCGUAAAGCUCUGUUGUAAGGGAAAAUGAUGAUGGUACCUUAUAAGAAAGGACCGGCUAACUUCGUGCCAGCAGCCGCGGUAAGACGAGGGGUCCUAGCGUUGUUCGGAAUCAUUGGGCGUAAAGCGCAUGUAGGCGGCCUAUCAAGUCAGGUGUGAAAUCCCUGGGCUCAACCCAGGACGUGCACUUGAUACUGGUGGGCUUGAAUAGAGGAGAGGAUAGUGGAAUUCCUGGUGUAGUGGUGAAAUACGUAGAUAUCAGGAGGAACACCGGUGGCGAAGGCGGCUAUCUGGCCUCAUAUUGACGCUGAGAUGCGAAAGUGCGGGGAUCAAACAGGAUUAGAUACCCCUGUAGUCC
This 424-nucleotide ribosomal RNA is filed under the name uncultured bacterium. Its description in RNAcentral is "bacterial SSU rRNA". It matches the Rfam family "Bacterial small subunit ribosomal RNA", at positions 355 to 796 of the family's 1533-position model. The record is from RNAcentral.